Molecule: ribosomal RNA, 1172 nt
Filed under: Rhodococcus sp. (in: high G+C Gram-positive bacteria)
Lineage: Bacteria; Bacillati; Actinomycetota; Actinomycetes; Mycobacteriales; Nocardiaceae
Description: bacterial SSU rRNA
Rfam family: Bacterial small subunit ribosomal RNA
Source: RNAcentral
GUCGAACGGUAAGGCCCCUUCGGUNACACGAGUGGCGAACGGGUGAGUAACACGUGGGUAAUCUGCCCUGCACUUCGGGAUAAGCCUGGGAAACUGGGUCUAAUACCGGAUAUGAACUCCUGCCGCAUGGUGGGGGUUGGAAAGUUUUUCGGUGCAGGAUGAGCCCGCGCCUAUCAGCUUGUUGGUGGGGUAAUGGCCUACCAAGGCGACGACGGGUAGCCGGCCUGAGAGGGUGAUCGGCCACACUGGGACUGAGACACGGCCCAGACUCNUACGGGAGGCAGCAGUGGGGAAUAUUGCACAAUGGGCGAAAGCCUGAUGCAGCGACGCCGCGUGGGGGAUGACGGUCUUCGGAUUGUAAACCCCUUUCAGUAGGGACGAAGCGCAAGUGACGGUACCUGCAGAAGAAGCACCGGCUAACUACGUGCCAGCAGCCGCGGUAAUACGUAGGGUGCGAGCGUUGUCCGGAAUUACUGGGCGUAAAGAGCUCGUAGGCGGUUUGUCACGUCGUCUGUGAAAUCCCUCGGCUUAACCGGGGGCGUGCAGGCGAUACGGGCAGACUUGAGAUGGGUAGCGAACAGGAUUAGAUACCCUGGUAGUCCAUGCCGUAAACGAUGUCUACUAGGUGUGGGGUCCUUCCACGGACUCCGUGCCGAUCGUAACGCAUUAAGCGCCCGCCUGGGGAGUACGGCGCAAGGCUAAAACUCAAAGGAAUUGACGGGGGCCGCACAAGCGGCGGAGCAUGUGGAUUAAUUCGAUGCAACGCGAAGAACCUUACCUAGGCUUGACAUAUACAGGACGACGGCAGAGAUGUCGUUUCCCUUGUGGCUUGUAUACAGGUGGUGCAUGGUUGUCGUCAGCUCGUGUCGUGAGAUGUUGGGUUAAGUCCCGCAACGAGCGCAACCCCUGUCUCAUGUUGCCAGCACGUAAUGGUGGGACUCGUGAGAGACUGCCGGGGUCAACUCGGAGGAAGGUGGGGAUGACGUCAAAUCAUCAUGCCCCUUAUGUCUAGGGCUUCACACAUGCUACAAUGGCUAGUACAGAGGGCUCGAUACCGCGAGGUGGAGCGAAUCCCUUAAAGCUGGUCUCAGUUCGGAUUGGGGUCUGCAACUCGACCUUAUGAAGUCGGAGUCGCUAGUAAUCGCAGAUCAGCAACGCUGCGGUGAAUACUU